GUGUUACAUCAGUAGCACAUAUGCCAAAAUUGGAAUCAUACAGAGAAGAUUAGCAUUGCCCCGGCGCAAGGAUGACAUGCAUAUUCGUGAAGCAUUCCAGAUUUUC
Molecule: small nuclear RNA, 106 nt
Organism: Thalassophryne amazonica
Lineage: Eukaryota; Metazoa; Chordata; Actinopteri; Batrachoidiformes; Batrachoididae
Source: RefSeq, a predicted model, not a curated record